This 253-nucleotide ribosomal RNA is filed under the name uncultured prokaryote. RNAcentral's name for it is "partial 16S ribosomal RNA". It matches the Rfam family "Bacterial small subunit ribosomal RNA", at positions 547 to 777 of the family's 1533-position model. The record is from RNAcentral.
CCUUUUUUUUCCCGCUUUUUUCGGAAUUACUGGGCGUAAAGGGCGCGUAGGCGGCUUUUCAAGUCGGGCGUGAAAUCUCCGGGCUUAACCCGGAAGGGUCGUUCGAUACUGUUGAGCUAGAGUGUGGAAGAGGCAACUAGAAUUCCGUGUGUAGCGGUGAAAUGCGUAGAUAUACGGAGGAAUACCUGAGGCGAAGGCGGGUUGCUGGGCCAACACUGACGCUGAGGCGCGAAAGCUAGGGGAGCAAACGGGA